RNAcentral lists this ribosomal RNA (214 nucleotides) under uncultured bacterium. Its description in RNAcentral is "partial 16S ribosomal RNA". It matches the Rfam family "Bacterial small subunit ribosomal RNA", at positions 1276 to 1500 of the family's 1533-position model. The record is from RNAcentral.
CAAAAACCGGUCCCAGUUCGGACUGCAGGCUGCAACCCGCCUGCACGAAGCCGGAGUUGCUAGUAAUCGCGAAUCAGAAUGUCGCGGUGAAUGCGUUCCCGGGUCUUGUACACACCGCCCGUCACACCAUGGAAGUUGGGGUGCCCAAAGCCGGCAAGCAAAUAUGCUGUCUAAGGCAAAACCAAUGACUGGGGUGAAGUCGUAACAAGGUAAC